AGGGUUCGAUUCCGGAGAGGGGGCCUGAGAAAUGGCUACCACAUCCAAGGAUGGCAGCAGGCGCGCAAAUUACCCACUCCCAGCUUGGGGAGGUAGUGACGAAAGAUAACAAUGCGGGACUCUAAGAGGCCCCGUAAUUGGAAUGAGUACACCUUAAAUCGUUUAACGAGUUCAAUUGGAGGGCAAGUCUGGUGCCAGCAGCCGCGGUAAUUCCAGCUCCAAUAGCGUAUAUUAAAGUUGCUGCAGUUAAAAAGCUCGUAGUUGGAUCUGGGGCUUGAGGUCGCUGUCUAUCGUUUCGGCGAUGACGGUGAUGCUCAGCUCUGCUUGCCGGUGACUGUUGCGGUGUUCUUCACUGAGCGCUGUAGCAGCACGGCACGUUUACUUUGAAAAAAUUAGAGUGCUCAAAGCGUGCUUGUCGCUUGAAUAAUGUUGCAUGGAAUAAUGGAAUAGGACCUCGGUUCUAUUUUGUUGGUUUUCGGAGCUUGAGGUAAUGAUUAAGAGGGACAAACGGGGGCAUUCGUAUUGCGGUGUUAGAGGUGAAAUUCUUGGAUCGCCGCAAGACGGACUACUGCGAAAGCAUUUGCCAAGAACGCUUUCAUUAAUUAAGAACGAAAGUCAGAGGUUCGAAGACGAUCAGACACCGUCCUAGUUCUGACCAUAAACGAUGCCGACCAGCGAUCCGUAGUGGUUGCUUUAUGGACCCUACGGGCAGCCUCCGGGAAACCAAAGUAUUUGGGUUCCGGGGGAAGUAUGGUUGCAAAGCUGAAACUUAAAGGAAUUGACGGAAGGGCACACCAGGAGUGGAGCCUGCGGCUUAAUUUGACCCAACACGGGAAAACCCACCCGGUCCGGACACCGUAAGGAUUGACAGACUGAUAGCUCUUUCUUGAUUCGGUGGAUGGUGGUGCAUGGCCGUUCUUAGUUGGUGGAGUGAUUUGUCUGGUUAAUUCCGAUAACGAACGAGACUCUAGCCUGCUAAGUAGUGUUGCUAUUGUUAUAUGGUUGACACUUCUUAGAGGGACAAGUGGCAUUUAGCCACGCGAAAUUGAGCAAUAACAGGUCUGUGAUGCCCUUAGAUGUCCGGGGCCGCACGCGCGCUACACUGGAGAAGUCAGCGUGUGUUAUCCAAGUCCGAAAGGACUGGGUAAUCCGUUGAACCUUCUUCGUGCUUGGGACUGUGGCUUGGAACUAUUCCACAUGAACGAGGAAUUCCUAGUAAUUGCAAGUCAUAAGCUUGCGUUGAUUACGUCCCUGCCCUUUGUACACACCGCCCGUCGCUACUACCGAUUGAAUGGUUUAGCAAGGUCCUCGGAUCGUGGCCGUAGGGGCACGCAAGUGUUUCUGCGGUUUGCGAGAAGACGACCAAACUUGAUCAUUUAGAGGAAGUAAAAGUCGUAACAAGGUU
Molecule: ribosomal RNA, 1405 nt
Filed under: metagenome
Description: SSU rRNA
Rfam family: Eukaryotic small subunit ribosomal RNA
Source: RNAcentral